This 496-nucleotide ribosomal RNA is filed under the name uncultured bacterium. Its description in RNAcentral is "partial 16S ribosomal RNA". It matches the Rfam family "Bacterial small subunit ribosomal RNA", at positions 29 to 507 of the family's 1533-position model. The record is from RNAcentral.
AUGCACGCUGGCGGCGUGCCUCAUUCCUUCCAGUCGAGCGCACAGACGAGGAGCUUGCUCCUCUGACGUUAGCGGCGGACGGGUGAGUAACACGUGGAUAACCUACCUAUAAGACUGGGAUAACUUCGGGAAACCGGAGCUAAUACCGGAUAAUAUAUUGAACCGCAUGGUUCAAUAGUGAAAGACGGUUUUGCUGUCACUUAUAGAUGGAUCCGCGCCGCAUUAGCUAGUUGGUAAGGUAACGGCUUACCAAGGCAACGAUGCGUAGCCGACCUGAGAGGGUGAUCGGCCACACUGGAACUGAGACACGGUCCAGACUCCUACGGGAGGCAGCAGUAGGGAAUCUUCCGCAAUGGGCGAAAGCCUGACGGAGCAACGCCGCGUGAGUGAUGAAGGUCUUCGGAUCGUAAAACUCUGUUAUUAGGGAAGAACAAAUGUGUAAGUAACUAUGCACGUCUUGACGGUACCUAAUCAGAAAGCCACGGCUAACUACGUG